This 279-nucleotide ribosomal RNA is filed under the name uncultured bacterium. RNAcentral describes it as "partial 16S ribosomal RNA". It matches the Rfam family "Bacterial small subunit ribosomal RNA", at positions 506 to 784 of the family's 1533-position model. The record is from RNAcentral.
UGCCAGCCGCCGCGGUAAUACGAAGGGUGCUAGCGUUGUUCGGAAUUAUUGGGCGUAAAGAGCAUGUAGGCGGACUGUUAAGUCUGAUGUGAAAUCCCGGGGCUCAACCCCGGAAGUGCAUUUGAAACCCCGGAACUUGAGUAUGGGAGAGGGAAGUGGAAUUCCAGGUGUAGAGGUGAAAUUCGUAGAUAUCUGGAGGAACACCGGUGGCGAAGGCGACUUCCUGGACCAAUACUGACGCUGAGAUGCGAAAGCGUGGGGAGCGAACAGGAUUAGAUA